Molecule: ribosomal RNA, 253 nt
Filed under: uncultured bacterium
Lineage: Bacteria
Description: partial 16S ribosomal RNA
Rfam family: Bacterial small subunit ribosomal RNA
Source: RNAcentral
UACGUAGGUGGCAAGCGUUGUCCGGAUUUACUGGGCGUAAAGGGCAGGCAGGCGGGCUGUUAAGUAGAAAGUGAAAGGUCGGGGCUCAACCCCAACAUUGCUUUUUAUACUGGCAGCCUUGAAUCCCGGAGGGGAAAGCGGAACGACACGUGUAGCGGUGAAAUGCGUUGAUAUGUGUCGGAACACCAAUGGCGAAGGCAGCUUUCUGGACGGGGAUUGACGCUCAACUGCGAAAGCCGAGGUAGCGAACAGG